This 1440-nucleotide unclassified non-coding RNA is filed under the name Leishmania donovani. RNAcentral's name for it is "gene:LdHU3.36.5840(CDS-product:hypothetical_prote in_conserved)". Lineage: Eukaryota; Euglenozoa; Kinetoplastea; Trypanosomatida; Trypanosomatidae. The record is from RNAcentral.
CACCAAAAAGAAAACGCAUACGCGCGUUGAGGCAGCAGUAGUGCAGGGGGCAAGCGGCCUUUUUACUUCGUUUUUCCCCGCAUUCACUGCUCAGAGAGAGAGAGAUCCGCCGAGCACAGACGCGCGAACUCCUCAAUCAUGCGCCGUACACGUCUAGUGUGCACGGCGACGCCGGAGAAGUUUAGCAUCCUUGGCACCACCCAUCCUAAGCCGAAGCGCAACGGCAUGGGCCGUAACAACAAGAUGCGCAGCAAGCCUAGCGACAACGUGGCGUGGUACGACAAGGGUCCUGUGGAGUGGCUUCCGCGCCCCGUUCGGCUCACCUACGACCAGCUCGACCAGCUGCGCGACUGGGUGAUGCGCGAGACCAUUGCUGGGCGCACGGAGGAAUUCAACAAGAUCCGCCACCUGCACCGGGAGUGGUCGCAGCACCCGCUCAUGCCAGUGCUUGGCGAUGUCGAGCCGAAGUUUCCGCUCAACUUGUACAAGCAGAACCAUCGCGCGAAGAGGCGCUUCCUGGUGCGUUGGCACAAGGCAAACAGUCCAGCCUACUGGAUGUGGAUGCCGCGUGGUCCCGCGGUGGCGACUCCUCUCCACCGCUCAAUCCCCUCACAGUUUCCGGAGCAUUGGAAGUCACUAGCGCGCACUAGCAGCAGCAGCAGGGGCGGCGGCAGCAGCGGCAGUAGCUCCGUAGCUCAAUAAGCAAAACGUGAAGACAACGAAGCAGGCUCCCCGCUUACCUGGGACGGCGAGCAGUGCUAGCUGCGCACACGUGCAUGUUACGCUCGAAACAGAAACGUGCUCUCCUUCUUAGUCGCCGCAUCUCGCCGUCUCGUAGGGUUGUGAUGCUACUGCACAGUUUCGUUUGAGUGCGCUUUCUUCGCGCUUGCGUGCGUGCUUGUUUCGUGUGUGUGUGUGUGUGUGUGUGUGUUUGUGUGUGUGCUUGUGCCUCGUCCAUGAGCGUUGCACAGCGCGUGCAGCUGUUGUGACGGUGGGCAAUGCCUUUUCUUGGCGGUUGGCCGGCACGGUAUUGAGGUGUGUACGUGCGCGGGUGUCGCUUAGUGGUCCCGUGGUUUGCUGUAAUUACAGUCCUCUUGAAGAAAAGGAGUUUAAAGAUGAGGGAGGCGGUGGGCAGAGUUGGAGGCAGAGGCCGUGCUCUCAGAUGGCUGAGUCGGCGCAUUGCUGGGGCGCGUGUGUCUACGUCUGCAUCGCACCACGCCAUGGGCCUGCGCGAGGCUGAGGAGAGCCGAGCAGAGUUGAGCUCGUGCACUAAGGCAGCGAAAUGGGCACGCUGACGGCAGAAGCCCAGUUCCAUUCUUUGUUCUUCGUUCCUUCCCACCUCGUUUCUCCUCUGCAUCUCUCCUUCUUUCUCUCUCUUGUGUGCGUCCUGGGUCCGCCUUCGCACCGAAUUGUUUAUUUUUUUUUUCGAGACAUACACAG